Molecule: ribosomal RNA, 406 nt
Filed under: uncultured bacterium
Lineage: Bacteria
Description: partial 16S ribosomal RNA
Rfam family: Bacterial small subunit ribosomal RNA
Source: RNAcentral
AUUGAACGCUGGCGGCAGGCCUAACACAUGCAAGUCGAACGAGUGGCGGACGGGUGAGUAAUGUCUGGGAAUCUGCCUGGUGGUGGGGGAUAACGACCGGAAACGGGCGCUAAUACCGCAUACUAUCAGAUGAGCCUAGGUCGGAUUAGCUAGUUGGUGGGGUAAAGGCUCACCAAGGCGACGAUCCCUAACUGGUCUGAGAGGAUGACCAGCCACACUGGAACUGAGACACGGUCCAGACUCCUACGGGAGGCAGCAGUGGGGAAUAUUGCACAAUGGGCGCAAGCCUGAUGCAGCCAUGCCGCGUGUAUGAAGAAGGCCUUCGGGUUGUAAAGUACUUUCAGCGGGGAGGCGUUACCCGCAGAAGAAGCACCGGCUAACUCCGUGCCAGCAGCCGCGGUAAUUC